Molecule: ribosomal RNA, 208 nt
Filed under: Clostridioides difficile
Lineage: Bacteria; Bacillati; Bacillota; Clostridia; Peptostreptococcales; Peptostreptococcaceae
Description: partial 23S ribosomal RNA
Rfam family: Bacterial large subunit ribosomal RNA
Source: RNAcentral
GGGUUAGUCGGGACCUAAGCUGAGGCCGAAAGGCGUAGGUGAUGGACAACAGGUUGAUAUUCCUGUACUACCGAUAACCGGUUGAGAGAAGGGAUGACACAGUAGGAUAAGCUAAGCACACUGUUGGGUAUGUGUGCCCAAGCAUUGAGGCAGUCAAAGUAGGCAAAUCCGCUUUGAUAAUGCUGGGAUGUGAUGGGGAGCGAAAUUU